AGCGAACAGGGAAGAGCCCAGCACCGAAUCCCGCGGCUGGUAACGGACGCCGGGAAAUGUGGUGUUAGGGAGGAUCCGCUAUUCCGAGAUCGCACGGCAAGCCCAAGUCCUUCUUGAACGGGGCCACUUACCCAGAGAGGGUGCCAGGCCCGUAGAGGCUGCCGUCGGUAGCGGGAGGAUCUCUCCUCAGAGUCGGGUUGCUUGAGAGUGCAGCCCUAA
RNAcentral lists this ribosomal RNA (219 nucleotides) under Onthophagus praecellens. RNAcentral's name for it is "partial 28S ribosomal RNA". It matches the Rfam family "Eukaryotic large subunit ribosomal RNA", at positions 92 to 291 of the family's 3401-position model. Lineage: Eukaryota; Metazoa; Arthropoda; Insecta; Coleoptera; Scarabaeidae. The record is from RNAcentral.